CUUAACAAAGCACGCAAUUUGAUAAUAAAAUUCAAGAGUUAUUCGUUUGCAAGACGAUUCAUAGUUAAAUUACUGACCAAACUGAAAAUGUUUGACAAUGAAACAAAACACGAUUCUUGGGCUUUACACACAAAACCAAUUUCAUUCCCAAGUAAGACAGACACAAACACAAGACAGGUACUACCUCGAAACACAGCUACUUGACAUGAAUACCCGGGAAAUAUUUCUGCUCUUGGCCAAACCCUGGAUUUUCGGAAGGGUUUCUUAAUCCUCCUGGGAGGUUGAUAAUAACCGCUGGAUGAGUGGAUGUCACCUGCACAGACACAAACGACAACCAAACAAAACCAACUAUUUCUUAAUUUGUCUAGUGCCACGCAAUUACUUUUACUUGCACUUUGUAUAAGUACACCAAACACAAAAAUGAACAAAUAAAAUUUCUAACAGGA
Long non-coding RNA from Stomoxys calcitrans (stable fly), 446 nucleotides. RefSeq lists it as uncharacterized. The record is from RefSeq and is a predicted model, not a curated record. The transcript has 3 exons. NCBI's taxonomy places the organism in Eukaryota, Metazoa, Arthropoda, Insecta, Diptera, Muscidae.